GAGGAAGCCGGUGUGAAUCCGGCGCGGUACCGCCACUGUGAUCGGCGAGCGGAUCCCCGACACGCCACCGCCCCGGGCGGGGUGGGAAGGCCGGGACGAGCCUUGACCCGAGAGCCAGGAGACUC
RNAcentral lists this non-coding RNA (125 nucleotides) under Streptomyces abyssalis. The record is from RNAcentral. Lineage: Bacteria; Bacillati; Actinomycetota; Actinomycetes; Kitasatosporales; Streptomycetaceae.